UUUUUUUUCUACACAUGUGUGUGAAAUAUUUGUUUAGGUGCAGCCAGGAAUUUAUGUUUGAAUAAUCUACUCGUCAAAACAUUUGUUGAGCAUACUGUCAUAUUUACUUUUUUAUUUUGCUUCGCGCUACGCUCAUUCUAAAAGUGUUUGCAACCUGGGAAAUUUUCUUCAAAAUUCAGUAUAUUUUUCAGCCAACCCAGACUUGACUCCAUAAAAUUAUCUAUGUGUGCAGACAAAACAGCGGAGACAUGAAAAACGACAAUAGAAAAGCAGAAAAGAAGAGCGAACGAACGAACGACCGACCCGGCUAUACAGAAUGGAGGCGAUAAAAAUGCAAUAAAAUGGCGACGGUGCCGGGUGAUAGCGUUUUGAGAUGGGGCGGCCAGACCGAGGGUUACAAAUGUUCCCACUGUGUAUUGUAAUCACUCAGUUAGCCUCGCUUUCCGGGUUCCGUUAUGCAUGUGGCCCGCCGUUUAUCUAAAGAGUUUCGCUGAAGGGUUUCGUUGUGGUUGCGCUGCAUGGCCAAGGAGUGAGAUAAGUUACAAGGAAACAGCAAUUCGAAUAAUUAAGUAGUAAAGAAACAAUGAAACGCAUAUUGAAGAUGAGUUUUUGUUUUUCAGUAUAUUUGAUAAAGGUGAGGGAGUGAGAAAUAAUACGAAUUCUUUUGGAAUCACAAACUUUGUCAACACACAAAAACAAAUUAAAUUUUCUCUUUUAAUUAAA
This is a long non-coding RNA of Drosophila mojavensis, 723 nucleotides long. RefSeq lists it as uncharacterized. The record is from RefSeq and is a predicted model, not a curated record. The transcript is spliced from 2 exons. NCBI's taxonomy places the organism in Eukaryota, Metazoa, Arthropoda, Insecta, Diptera, Drosophilidae.